RNAcentral lists this ribosomal RNA (252 nucleotides) under uncultured bacterium. RNAcentral describes it as "partial 16S ribosomal RNA". It matches the Rfam family "Bacterial small subunit ribosomal RNA", at positions 524 to 776 of the family's 1533-position model. The record is from RNAcentral.
UACGUAGGGGGCAAGCGUUGUCCGGAUUUAUUGGGCGUAAAGAGCGUGUAGGCGGUCUGGUAGGUCCGUUGUGAAACUCGAGGCUCAACCUCGAGACGCCGAUGGAAACCAUCAGACUAGAGUCCGGAAGAGGAGAGUGGAAUUCCUGGUGUAGCGGUGAAAUGCGCAGAUAUCAGGAAGAACACCCGUGGCUAAGGCGGCUCUCUAGUACGGUACUGACGCUGAGACGCGAAAGCGUGGGGAGCGAACAGG